AGUCUGCAACUCGACUACAUGAAGCUGGAAUCGCUAGUAAUCGCGAAUCAGCAUGUCGCGGUGAAUACGUUCCCGGGUCUUGUACACACCGCCCGUCACACCAUGGGAGUUGGUAACGCCCGAAGCCAGUGACCCAACCUUUAAGGAGGGAGCUGUCGAAGGUGGGACCGAUAACUGGGGUGAAGUCGUAACAAGGUAGC
This 200-nucleotide ribosomal RNA is filed under the name uncultured bacterium. RNAcentral describes it as "partial 16S ribosomal RNA". It matches the Rfam family "Bacterial small subunit ribosomal RNA", at positions 1302 to 1500 of the family's 1533-position model. The record is from RNAcentral.